This 454-nucleotide ribosomal RNA is filed under the name uncultured bacterium. Its description in RNAcentral is "partial 16S ribosomal RNA". It matches the Rfam family "Bacterial small subunit ribosomal RNA", at positions 28 to 507 of the family's 1533-position model. The record is from RNAcentral.
GAUGAACGCUGACAGAAUGCUUAACACAUGCAAGUCAACUUGAACUUCGGUUUGGGUGGCGGACGGGUGAGUAACGCGUAAAGAACUUGCCUCACAGUUAGGGACAACAUUUGGAAACGAAUGCUAAUACCUGAUAUUAUGAUUUUAGGGCAUCCUAGAAUUAUGAAAGCUAUAUGCGCUGUGAGAGAGCUUUGCGUCCCAUUAGCUAGUUGGAGAGGUAACGGCUCACCAAGGCGAUGAUGGGUAGCCGGCCUGGGAGGGUGAACGGCCACAAGGGGACUGAGACACGGCCCUUACUCCUACGGGAGGCAGCAGUGGGGAAUAUUGGACGAUGGACCAAGAGUCUGAUGCAGCAAUUCUGUGUGCACGAUGAAGUUUUUCGGAAUGUAAAGUGCUUUCAGUUGGGAAGAAAAAAAUGACGAUACCAACAGAAGAAGUGACGGCUAAAUACGUG